RNAcentral lists this unclassified non-coding RNA (331 nucleotides) under soil metagenome. RNAcentral describes it as "partial contains 5.8S ribosomal RNA, internal transcribed spacer 2, and large subunit ribosomal RNA". The stretch from base 1 to 120 matches the Rfam family "5.8S ribosomal RNA", at positions 35 to 154 of the family's 154-position model. The record is from RNAcentral.
GAUGAAGAACGUAGCAAAAUGCGAUAAGUAAUGUGAAUUGCAGAAUUCAGUGAAUCAUCGAAUCUUUGAACGCACAUUGCGCCCGCUAGUAUUCUGGCGGGCAUGCCUGUUCGAGCGUCAUUUCAACCAUCAAGCCCCAGGCUUGCGUUGGGGGCCUGCGGCUGCCGCAGCCCCUGAAAAGCAGUGGCGGGCUCGCUGUCAUUCCGAGCGUAGUAGUUACAUCUCGCUCCGGGCGUGGCGGUGGGCACCUGCCGUGAAACACUCUUUCUAAGGUUGACCUCGGAUCAGGUAGGAAUACCCGCUGAACUUAAGCAUAUCAAUAAGCGGAGGA